Molecule: non-coding RNA, 2495 nt
Organism: Saimiri boliviensis boliviensis (Bolivian squirrel monkey)
Lineage: Eukaryota; Metazoa; Chordata; Mammalia; Primates; Cebidae
Source: RefSeq, a predicted model, not a curated record
AAAAAAUGGUCCUUUUGUCCCCCUUUACAUAAUCUAAUUAGGUGGCAGUAUAAAUAUAUUUUAUUUUUUAAAGCCCAGGAGUAAAAUUGAGGAGGCUUUAUAUGAAACUGCGUAAAAUAUUUAUCCUAGUAUCGUAAUCAGUAGGUCUGUUUUUAUAAGAACACCUCUUUUCUGAGGAUUCUACAUUUACUUAGAUGGCUAAUAAAAUAACUUCAAUGAUAUGAUUGACCAUUUUAAUAUAUUUUUUUAAACUUUAUUACCUACUCUAUGUACAAAAGAGUGUCCAGAGAGAACAAGUGUGCCUUUUGUGUGUGUGUGAGCAUCUGCCUGAGCUCUUCAUUUUCUGGUUUUCUUGUUCUUAUCAGAAUGUUUUCCAUAUUCUUUUUGUCUCCAUAUUCAAUAAGCAAUUUGAAACAAGUCCUCCAGAAAGUAAAUUAAAAUGAUUUUGGUGAAUAAUAUUAUUUGCCGAAUGCUUUUGUCAGGCCCCAUUGCCUGAAGAGUGCCCAUUUCAGUGAGUUCCAUGCUGUGUUGCACAGCAUCUUUUGUUUACUGGAAACAUAAACCUCCUUGUAACCCAGGUGGAGGGUCCAUUUAUGUGGGACAAGUACUUACUAGACAGCUAAACUGCGGAUCUCUGAUUGGUUUCUUAUGGGGAAUCAUAUAAAUUUUUGAAGUUACUUUAAGUGUUAUUUUAUUUCAUAUAUAUUUUAUUUUCCUGUCUUUACUGGUAUAUCUGCAAUCAAAAUAUCAGGAAGAACUAUAGUAAAAAAUAAUUGUAAAGGAAAAUGUGUUGUUUAGCUUGGUCAUGAGAUAUGGUUAGUUAGAUAAAACCUUAAUGACCAGUUCUUAAUUUAGGAGAUUUGGUUAUAAUUCCAAACAACAUUUGUUGAUUUUUCUAUGUAAUAGAAAAAAAAGGUUAGCUUUCAGGCAUUCUGCUUUACCACAGCUGUAUUGAUAGCCCUCUGCCCUAACUUUAUUGAAUAGAAACAGUGAUUUUUUUUUCUAUUUCCAUCAUAAAUUAUCUUAGUGUAUUUUUAAAAAUUAGCUGACAGUAAAACUGAUUUAUGCAACAAUUACUGAACCCCCACCCUUUUUUUUUCAUAAAACUAAAUAUUUUAUCAGAUUUCAGAGAAAUAACAAGAACCAAAUUCUUUAACUUUCAGUGUGUGCCUUCUUUUUAACAAUCCCUAACACUCCGUUUGGAAUUGAAGAGCCCUUUCUGGCUUGCGUUGGGCUGGGCAUGGUUAUUAACUCCUUAGAGGGUGGUAGAUGCACUUUUAGGCUCUUCUGCCUUUCCCUGGUCCUGAGAAUCACGGAGAGAGGGGAGGAGGGGUGGUGGGGGAAAGAGUGAAGGGGAGAGGGAGACAGGGAGACAAAGCCUGAGAGGGAGACGAUGACAUUAGAGGUGACACCUAGCUAUCAUGAGCCUCCUAAGACUGAGGGGAAGAAUAAUGAAGGGUUUCCCUGCCUUCUACAGCCCGAGGACAACCCUAUGGCCACAGCACCCUUUCUAAUCCCAUUUUCUGUGUGCUGCAUGUCAUAAUCUGUAAGGCACUGGUUCCAAGGGAAAACACUGAAUCCAAACAGUGACUGGGUCUUGUAUUUAUUUGCACUUUAAAACUACAAUGUGCAGGAAAACUUAGUAAAAAAAAAAAAAAAGAAAAGAAAAGAGGGACAGCAACAACACAGCACCACAAGUUUGUUGGCAUUGAAAGGGAAUCACUGGGCCCAGAGAGCCUUACAUUUCAGUGCUCUGAUUUACAGUGGCAUUUUACCAAUUAGAGAAAAGUGUGCAGUCUCUUUAAACAACUUUUCAUAAAAAUCUUCCCUGUUGGGAAUAUCUUUGUUUCAUGCAGUGUCAGUCCCUGUGAAAGUAGUUGUCCUAGAGUCUGGCUGACCCUAGGUCCCCCAGUGUCUGCAGGACCUUGGAAGGCUGUAGUAAAGUGACUCUCAGUGGGAAUGGGCCAGACAGUUUUCCUAGAGGCAAGGACCUGGGAGAUAGCAUGUGGAAAACAGCAGAGUUAUAUUCUGCAUGUUAUUUCGUAAGUGAAGAUAACAGGUAAAAAUCAGUACAAAGAAUCUGUGUAUGGAGCCCCUUGCCAUAGUCCCUUUCCAGCCUUCCUCAACCUGCCUGGUGAGUAGAAGUCAUUGGAUUAAAUUAUUUCAUCAUUUUGCAAGGAGGGAGUUAGUUGAUGGUUUGAAAGUGUGGACAAGGCCAGGCGCGGUGGCUCAGGCCUGUAAUCCCAGCACUUUGGGAGGCCGAGGCGGGUGGAUCACGAGGUCAAGAGAUUGAGGCUAUCCCAGUCAACAUAGCGAAACCCCGUCUCUACUAAAAAUACAAAAAAUUAGCUGGACAUGGUGGCACGUGCCUGUAAUCCCAGCUACUCAGGAGGCUGAGGCAGGAGAAUUGCCUGAACCCGGAAGGCAGAGGUUGCGGUAAGCCGAGAUCGCCCCAUUGCACUCCAGCCUGGGUAACAAGAGCGAAACUCUGUCUC